AUAUGAGUUUGAUCCUGGCUCAGAAUGAACGCUAGUAGUAUGCUUUACACAUGCAAGUCGAACGAAAAUUAAUUUUUUCGUGGCGAACGGGUGAGUAUUCGCAGAAUUUUCCCUUUCAAUUCAGAACAAAAAUUUACUUGAUUAAAUUAAAAUACUGAAUAUUUAAAAGGUUAACUCCGUUGAAAGAUAAAUCUGCACAAGAUUAGGUUGUUGGUAAGGUAAAAGCUUACCAAGCCCGCGAUCUUUAGUUGGUCUUAGAGGAUGAUCAACCACACUGGAACUGAAAUAAGGUCCAGGCUGACACGUCGGCCAGCAGUGAGGAAUAUUGGACAAUGAACGAAAGUUUGAUCCAGCAAUACUAACUGGGUGAUGACGGCUUAUUUAAGUUGUAAGAUCCUUUAAUUAAAGAAGAUAAUGACAUUAUUUAAUUGAAUUUAGUCCUGGCUAAUACUCGUGCCAGCAGCCGCGGUAAUACGGGAAGGGCAAG
This 487-nucleotide ribosomal RNA is filed under the name Pseudo-nitzschia fraudulenta. RNAcentral describes it as "partial Bacterial small subunit ribosomal RNA". It matches the Rfam family "Bacterial small subunit ribosomal RNA", at positions 1 to 538 of the family's 1533-position model. The record is from RNAcentral. Lineage: Eukaryota; Bacillariophyta; Bacillariophyceae; Bacillariales; Bacillariaceae.